CCCUUUGGGGUGUGACUGCGUACCUUUUGUAUAAUGGGUCAGCGACUUAUAUUCUGUAGCAAGGUUAACCGAAUAGGGGAGCCGGAGGGAAACCGAGUCUUAAUUGGGCGUUAAGUUGCAGGGUAUAGACCCGAAACCCGGUGAUCUAGCCAUGGGCAGGUUGAAGGUUGGGUAACACUAACUGGAGGACCGAACCGACUAAUGUUGAAAAAUUAGCGGAUGACCUGUGGCUGGGGGUGAAAGGCCAAUCAAACCGGGAGAUAGCUGGUUCUCCCCGAAAGCUAUUUAGGUAGCGCCUCGUGAAUUCAUCUCCGGGGGUAGAGCACUGUUUCGGCUAGGGGGCCAUCCCGGCUUACCAACCCGAUGCAAACUGCGAAUACCGGAGAAUGUUAUCACGGGAGACACACGGCGGGUGCUAACGUCCGUCGUGAAGAGGGAAACAACCCAGACCGCCAGCUAAGGUCCCAAAGUCAUGGUUAAGUGGGAAACGAUGUGGGAAGGCCCAGACAGCCAGGAUGUUGGCUUAGAAGCAGCCAUCAUUUAAAGAAAGCGUAAUAGCUCACUGGUCGAGUCGGCCUGCGCGGAAGAUGUAACGGGGCUAAACCAUGCACCGAAGCUGCGGCAGCGACGCUGAUGCGUUGUUGGGUAGGGGAGCGUUCUGUAAGCCUGCGAAGGUGGCCUGUGAGGGUUGCUGGAGGUAUCAGAAGUGCGAAUGCUGACAUAAGUAACGAUAAAGCGGGUGAAAAGCCCGCUCGCCGGAAGACCAAGGGUUCCUGUCCAACGUUAAUCGGGGCAGGGUGAGUCGACCCCUAAGGCGAGGCCGAAAGGCGUAGUCGAUGGGAAACGGGUUAAUAUUCCCGUACUUGGUGUUACUGCGAAGGGGGGACGGAGAAGGCUAUGUUGGCCGGGCGACGGUUGUCCCGGUUUAAGCGUGUAGGUGUGUGUUCCAGGUAAAUCCGGUUCACUUUAACACUGAGGCGUGAUGACGAGGCACUACGGUGCUGAAGCAACAAAUGCCCUGCUUCCAGGAAAAGCCUCUAAGCAUCAGGUAACAUCAAAUCGUACCCCAAACCGACACAGGUGGUCAGGUAGAGAAUACCAAGGCGCUUGAGAGAACUCGGGUGAAGGAACUAGGCAAAAUGGUGCCGUAACUUCGGGAGAAGGCACGCUGACACGUAGGUGAAGUGAUUUACUCAUGGAGCUGAAGUCAGUCGAAGAUACCAGCUGGCUGCAACUGUUUAUUAAAAACACAGCACUGUGCAAACACGAAAGUGGACGUAUACGGUGUGACGCCUGCCCGGUGCCGGAAGGUUAAUUGAUGGGGUCAGCGCAAGCGAAGCUCCUGAUCGAAGCCCCGGUAAACGGCGGCCGUAACUAUAACGGUCCUAAGGUAGCGAAAUUCCUUGUCGGGUAAGUUCCGACCUGCACGAAUGGCGUAAUGAUGGCCAGGCUGUCUCCACCCGAGACUCAGUGAAAUUGAACUCGCUGUGAAGAUGCAGUGUACCCGCGGCAAGACGGAAAGACCCCGUGAACCUUUACUAUAGCUUGACACUGAACAUUGAGCCUUGAUGUGUAGGAUAGGUGGGAGGCUUUGAAGUGUGGACGCCAGUCUGCAUGGAGCCGGCCUUGAAAUACCACCCUUUAAUGUUUGAUGUUCUAACGUGGACCCGUGAUCCGGGUUGCGGACAGUGUCUGGUGGGUAGUUUGACUGGGGCGGUCUCCUCCUAAAGAGUAACGGAGGAGCACGAAGGUUGGCUAAUCCUGGUCGGACAUCAGGAGGUUAGUGCAAUGGCAUAAGCCAGCUUGACUGCGAGCGUGACGGCGCGAGCAGGUGCGAAAGCAGGUCAUAGUGAUCCGGUGGUUCUGAAUGGAAGGGCCAUCGCUCAACGGAUAAAAGGUACUCCGGGGAUAACAGGCUGAUACCGCCCAAGAGUUCAUAUCGACGGCGGUGUUUGGCACCUCGAUGUCGGCUCAUCACAUCCUGGGGCUGAAGUAGGUCCCAAGGGUAUGGCUGUUCGCCAUUUAAAGUGGUACGCGAGCUGGGUUUAGAACGUCGUGAGACAGUUCGGUCCCUAUCUGCCGUGGGCGCUGGAGAACUGAGGGGGGCUGCUCCUAGUACGAGAGGACCGGAGUGGACGCAUCACUGGUGUUCGGGUUGUCAUGCCAAUGGCACUGCCCGGUAGCUAAAUGCGGAAGAGAUAAGUGCUGAAAGCAUCUAAGCACGAAACUUGCCCCGA
Molecule: ribosomal RNA, 2237 nt
Filed under: Salmonella enterica
Lineage: Bacteria; Pseudomonadati; Pseudomonadota; Gammaproteobacteria; Enterobacterales; Enterobacteriaceae
Also listed under: 1 other name
Description: partial 23S ribosomal RNA
Rfam family: Bacterial large subunit ribosomal RNA
Source: RNAcentral